Camelina sativa (false flax) is the source of this 551-nucleotide long non-coding RNA. RefSeq lists it as uncharacterized. Lineage: Eukaryota; Viridiplantae; Streptophyta; Magnoliopsida; Brassicales; Brassicaceae. The record is from RefSeq and is a predicted model, not a curated record.
GUCAUGAAAUAAACUCGUCUUGAUCCAUCCUGAGCAUCAUAUCAACCGUAAAAAAAAAUUAUAUUUCUGAUGAAUUUUGCUGGGAAAAUAGUUUCGAUUAAACUAAUCAAUCACUUGAGUUGUAAGAAGAUUUGCUCAGCUUGAGAGAGAGGGAGAGAUCGAGUACGGAGCUUGUUCUGAUCGUACCCUUCAAUUUGGUCUGUAUAUUUGUUGCAGCUGUACUGGGAAUCUUUGAUACCUUGGCACUUGUGAGUUUGUUUAGCGUGGAAGUAGCUUUUGUAGUGAAGGCAAAACCUCGAAAGGUAGCAGCUGCAACUGGACAGUAUCUCUUUGGAUUCACUGCUUAUGUAUUAGGUUUUAUGAUGCUAUUCAUCUCUCUUUAGCCGUUACAAAAUACUAUGGAUUUUAGUGAUGAUGGUGGGUAGGUUUUGUUAUUUAACUUGAUGAAGAUUGUACAGAAACCAUAUAGGUUUCUACCAUUGGAGGCAUCAAAUUUUAGUUAAUAGUAAAGAGUCUCUUAACUUAAAAAUAAACAAAUUUUAUAAUUAAAA